Molecule: long non-coding RNA, 908 nt
Filed under: Olea europaea (common olive)
Lineage: Eukaryota; Viridiplantae; Streptophyta; Magnoliopsida; Lamiales; Oleaceae
Description: long non-coding RNA (OEUR_LNC014252)
Source: RNAcentral
AAUUUUGACUUUUAAAUCAAUUACGCCCGCCAAUAAUUGCAACCCAAGUCCUUGUACUUUUGGUACUUAGCAUUUUGGUCCCAACUUCACAAUUUUGUAUGCUUUUAGUCCCUUUUCACUUCCUUUUGCCUUGUUCUACUACAUUGGGUGAAUUUUACCUACAAAAACAAUAAGUACAUAAUUGUGAAUGGAAAAUCGCUCAUUUAAUCAAUAUUUAAGCUUAUUUCAACAUUAAACGAGUGUGCAAAAACACAAUUAUUAAAUACCUCCUAACUUAAACUCCCGAGCAAGAUUAUUUACUACACAAUCAUGUAACACAUGAUAAAGAUUAACAAUAUUAAAUAGUUUGCAUAAAAAUCAAUGAGUGUAAAAUUGUAUAAUCAAUUCACAAAUAUGCCCAAAUAAUGCCAGCAAAAAUAAUUUAAGCUUAUCCAAUGUUCGAUUGGGGGGUGUGUGUGUGUGUGCGUGUGUGCAAAGUCACUUUCAGUUAUUAUCUAUAUUAGGAAAAAGUUGUCAAGAAGGAAAAAUCUUCAAAUUGGCUUCAACCCGACCCUUUGUGGUCAAAUAUUUCCUUUUUUACUCGUGAGAUUCACACUAAAAUAGAUAUUUAUUUUGCUUCUUGAAGUGUAAAUCUAAGGUUGCUCUAGUUUGGUUGGGUCAACUGGCAAUCUCAAUAUCCAGUCAUAUGAUGAUUCUCCGCUAAUGAAUGCUUCCACAUUCAAACUUAUACUAAAUAAUUCAAAAACUCACUAGUUAUCUAAGCACAAAUAUUAAAUGCAAUUGCACAAUAAUAAUUAAUUUAUUUUAGCCAAAUCCUAUGUUUUGCCUCACUUCCUUAAACUUUCUUCUUGACUCUUGUAAUGAGUUUUAGGUCGAUAACUCCCCGAUUGUUUAGGCCAAAGGAUAUN